AACGAACGCUGGCGGCAGGCUUAACACAUGCAAGUCGAGCGCCCCGCAGGGGGAGCGGCAGACGGGUGAGUAACGCAUGGGAAUCUACCCAUCCCUACGGAAUAGCUCCGGGAAACUGGAAUUAAUACCGUAUACGCCCUACGGGGGAAAGAUUUAUCGGGGAUGGAUGAGCCCGCGUUGGAUUAGCUAGUUGGUGGGGUAAAGGCCUACCAAGGCGACGAUCCAUAGCUGGUCUGAGAGGAUGAUCAGCCACAUUGGGACUGAGACACGGCCAAAACUCCUACGGGAGGCAGCAGUGGGGAAUAUUGGACAAUGUGGGCAACCCUGAUCCAGCCAUGCCGCGUGAGUGAUGAAGGCCUUAGGGUUGUAAAGCUCUUUCACCGGGGAAGAUAAUGACGGUACCCGGAGAAGAAGCCCCGGCUAACUUCGUGCCAGCCGCCGCAGUAA
Molecule: ribosomal RNA, 447 nt
Filed under: uncultured bacterium
Lineage: Bacteria
Description: partial 16S ribosomal RNA
Rfam family: Bacterial small subunit ribosomal RNA
Source: RNAcentral